GGGCUUGUGGCUCAGUGGUAGAGCGCUUGCCUCAAAAGCAAACAAACUCGGGUCCAAACCCA
This 62-nucleotide transfer RNA is filed under the name Dipodomys ordii (Ord's kangaroo rat). It matches the Rfam family "tRNA". From Rfam's summary of the family: Transfer RNA (tRNA) molecules are approximately 80 nucleotides in length. Their secondary structure includes four short double-helical elements and three loops (D, anti-codon, and T loops). The record is from Rfam by way of RNAcentral. Lineage: Eukaryota; Metazoa; Chordata; Mammalia; Rodentia; Heteromyidae.